RNAcentral lists this ribosomal RNA (567 nucleotides) under Salmonella enterica subsp. enterica. RNAcentral describes it as "partial 23S ribosomal RNA". It matches the Rfam family "Bacterial large subunit ribosomal RNA", at positions 1 to 598 of the family's 2925-position model. Lineage: Bacteria; Pseudomonadati; Pseudomonadota; Gammaproteobacteria; Enterobacterales; Enterobacteriaceae. RNAcentral also lists the same sequence under 1 other name. The record is from RNAcentral.
GGGUUGUGAGGUUAAGCGACUAAGCGUACACGGUGGAUGCCCUGGCAGUCAGAGGCGAUGAAGGACGUGCUAAUCUGCGAUAAGCGCCGGUAAGGUGAUAUGAACCGUUAUAACCGGCGAUUUCCGAAUGGGGAAACCCAGUGUGAUUCGUCACACUAUCAUUAACUGAAUCCAUAGGUUAAUGAGGCGAACCGGGGGAACUGAAACAUCUAAGUACCCCGAGGAAAAGAAAUCAACCGAGAUUCCCCCAGUAGCGGCGAGCGAACGGGGAGGAGCCCAGAGCCUGAAUCAGCAUGUGUGUUAGUGGAAGCGUCUGGAAAGGCGCGCGAUACAGGGUGACAGCCCCGUACACAAAAGCGCAUGUGCUGUGAGCUCGAUGAGUAGGGCGGGACACGUGGUAUCCUGUCUGAAUAUGGGGGGACCAUCCUCCAAGGCUAAAUACUCCUGACUGACCGAUAGUGAACCAGUACCGUGAGGGAAAGGCGAAAAGAACCCCGGCGAGGGGAGUGAAAAAGAACCUGAAACCGUGUACGUACAAGCAGUGGGAGCACCCUUUGGGGUGUGACU